RNAcentral lists this ribosomal RNA (465 nucleotides) under Vreelandella stevensii. Its description in RNAcentral is "partial 16S ribosomal RNA". It matches the Rfam family "Bacterial small subunit ribosomal RNA", at positions 338 to 795 of the family's 1533-position model. Lineage: Bacteria; Pseudomonadati; Pseudomonadota; Gammaproteobacteria; Oceanospirillales; Halomonadaceae. The record is from RNAcentral.
CCUACGGGGGGCUGCAGUGGGGAAUAUUGGACAAUGGGCGAAAGCCUGAUCCAGCCAUGCCGCGUGUGUGAAGAAGGCCUUCGGGUUGUAAAGCACUUUCAGUGGGGAAGAAAGCCUUGGGGCUAAUACCCUCGAGGAAGGACAUCACCCACAGAAGAAGCACCGGCUAACUCCGUGCCAGCAGCCGCGGUAAUACGGAGGGUGCGAGCGUUAAUCGGAAUUACUGGGCGUAAAGCGCGCGUAGGCGGUCUGAUAAGCCGGUUGUGUAAGCCCCGGGCUCAACCUGGGAACGGCAUCCGGAACUGUCAGGCUAGAGUGCAGGAGAGGAAGGUAGAAUUCCCGGUGUAGCAGUGAAAUGCGUAGAGAUCGGGAGGAAUACCAGUGGCGAAGGCGGCCUUCUGGACUGACACUGACGCUGAGGUGCGAAAGCGUGGGUAGCAAACAGGAUUAGAUACCCGUGUAGUC